Molecule: transfer RNA, 73 nt
Filed under: Nanofrustulum shiloi
Lineage: Eukaryota; Bacillariophyta; Fragilariophyceae; Staurosirales; Staurosiraceae
Also listed under: 1 other name
Description: tRNA-Arg
Rfam family: tRNA
About the family: Transfer RNA (tRNA) molecules are approximately 80 nucleotides in length. Their secondary structure includes four short double-helical elements and three loops (D, anti-codon, and T loops).
Source: RNAcentral
AAGCAUGUAGCUCAGUGGAUAGAGCAUCAGAUUCCGAUUCUGAAAGUCAAGGGUUCAAUUCCCUUCAUGCUUA